GACGAACGCUGGCGGCGUGCUUAACACAUGCAAGUCGAACGGUGAAGCUCCAGCUUGCUGGAGUGGAUCAGUGGCGAACGGGUGAGUAACACGUGAGCAACCUGCCCCUGACUCUGGAAUAAGCGCUGGAAACGGCGUCUAAUACUGGAUACGAGAAGGGUCCGCAUGGGCACUUUCUGGAAAGUUUUUCGGUUGGGGAUGGGCUCGCGGCCUAUCAGCUUGUUGGUGAGGUAAUGGCUCACCAAGGCGACGACGGGUAGCCGGUCUGAGAGGGCGACCGGCCACACUGGGACUGAGACACGGCCCAGACUCCUACGGGAGGCAGCAGUGGGGAAUAUUGCACAAUGGGCGAAAGCCUGAUGCAGCGACGCCGCGUGAGGGAUGACGGCCUUCGGGUUGUAAACCUCUUUCAGCAGGGAAGAAGCGAAAGUGACGGUACCUGCAGAAGAAGCACGGGCUAACUACGUG
Molecule: ribosomal RNA, 468 nt
Filed under: uncultured bacterium
Lineage: Bacteria
Description: partial 16S ribosomal RNA
Rfam family: Bacterial small subunit ribosomal RNA
Source: RNAcentral